This 645-nucleotide ribosomal RNA is filed under the name uncultured bacterium. Its description in RNAcentral is "bacterial SSU rRNA". It matches the Rfam family "Bacterial small subunit ribosomal RNA", at positions 188 to 851 of the family's 1533-position model. The record is from RNAcentral.
CAUCGGGUAGAGGGAAAAGGAGCAAUCCGCUUUGAGAUGGCCUCGCGUCCGAUUAGCUAGUUGGUGAGGUAACGGCCCACCAAGGCGACGAUCGGUAGCCGGACUGAGAGGUUGAACGGCCACAUUGGGACUGAGACACGGCCCAGACUCCUACGGGAGGCAGCAGUGGGGAAUAUUGCACAAUGGGGGAAACCCUGAUGCAGCGACGCCGCGUGGAGGAAGAAGGUCUUCGGAUUGUAAACUCCUGUUGUUGAGGAAGAUAAUGACGGUACUCAACAAGGAAGUGACGGCUAACUACGUGCCAGCAGCCGCGGUAAAACGUAGGUCACAAGCGUUGUCCGGAAUUACUGGGUGUAAAGGGAGCGCAGGCGGGAAGACAAGUUGGAAGUGAAAUCCAUGGGCUCAACCCAUGAACUGCUUUCAAAACUGUUUUUCUUGAGUAGUGCAGAGGUAGGCGGAAUUCCCGGUGUAGCGGUGGAAUGCGUAGAUAUCGGGAGGAACACCAGUGGCGAAGGCGGCCUACUGGGCACCAACUGACGCUGAGGCUCGAAAGUGUGGGUAGCAAACAGGAUUAGAUACCCUGGUAGUCCACACUGUAAACGAUGAAUAGUAGGUGUUGGAGGAUUGACCCCUUCAGUGCCGCAG